RNAcentral lists this transfer RNA (66 nucleotides) under Stylochus fafai. Its description in RNAcentral is "tRNA-Phe". The record is from RNAcentral. Lineage: Eukaryota; Metazoa; Platyhelminthes; Polycladida; Stylochidae.
UCUCCGAUAGCUAAAGUUUUAUAGUGUGGUCUUGAAGCGUCCGAGUUGAUGUUAUAUCUCGGGGAA